This 405-nucleotide ribosomal RNA is filed under the name uncultured bacterium. RNAcentral describes it as "partial 16S ribosomal RNA". It matches the Rfam family "Bacterial small subunit ribosomal RNA", at positions 30 to 526 of the family's 1533-position model. The record is from RNAcentral.
AUUGAACGCUAGCGGGAUGCUUUACACAUGCAAGUCGAACGAAUGGCGGACGGGUGAGUAGUAUAUCGGAACGUGCCCCAUCGCGGGGGAUAACUACUCGAAAAAGUGGCUAAUACCGCAUACUGUUCGCUCGGCCGCUAUAGGAUGAGCUAGUUGGUGGGGUAACGGCUCACAAAGGCAACGAUGCGUAGCUGGUUUGAGAGGAAGACCAGCCACACUGGGACUGAGACACGGCCCAGACUCCUACGGGAGGCAGCAGUGGGGAAUUUUGGACAAUGGGGGAAACCCUGAUCCAGCCAUCGCGCGUGUAUGAGAAGGCCUUCGGGUUGUAAAGUACUUUUGGCAGAGAAGCGGUAUCUGCAGAAGAAGCCACGGCUAACUACGUGCCAGCAGCCGCGGUAAUAC